RNAcentral lists this ribosomal RNA (443 nucleotides) under uncultured bacterium. Its description in RNAcentral is "partial 16S ribosomal RNA". It matches the Rfam family "Bacterial small subunit ribosomal RNA", at positions 338 to 795 of the family's 1533-position model. The record is from RNAcentral.
CCUACGGGUGGCUGCAGUGGGGAAUAUUGGGCAAUGGACGCAAGCCUGACCCAGCAACGCCGCGUGAAUGAAGAAGGCCUUCGGGUUGUAAACUUCUUUUAUUCGGGACGAAACAAAUGACGGUACCUAAUGAAUAAGCCCCGGCUAACUCCGUGCCAGCAGCCGCGGUAAUACGUAGGUGGCAAGCGUUAUCCGGAUUUACUGGGUGUAAAGGGCGUGUAGGCGGGGCAGCAAGUCAGAGGUGAAAUCCCAGGGCUCAACCCAGGGACUGCAUUUUAAACUGUUCUUCUUGAGUGCUGGAGAGGAAGGUGGAAUUCCGAGUGUAGCGGUGAAAUGCGUAGAUAUUAGGAGGAACACCAGUGGCGAAGGCGACCUGCUGGACAGUAACUGACGCUGAGGCGCGAAAGCGUGGGGAGCAAACAGGAUUAGAUACCCCGGUAGUC